Molecule: small RNA, 2606 nt
Filed under: Pan troglodytes (chimpanzee)
Lineage: Eukaryota; Metazoa; Chordata; Mammalia; Primates; Hominidae
Description: retained intron
Source: RNAcentral
GUACAGUAGGUAUGAUGGUGAAGGAAAUGAAAUCAGGGCAUGUCAUAGCUGUUGGGUGAGUGGGAAGAAGGAAAUGGAAGAGUCAAAGCUGCCAAACUUACUAGUUUUUCGUUUAAUAUUAGGGAGUCUAAUAGGAGGAACAAGGUUGGCUUUGAACAUGUUUUAUUUAAGAGAUUUCCAGGACAUUCUUUGAUUCAGUGAACUUAACAUUAAACUUGUCAUUAAAUUUUAUAUAUCAUUUAAUGCAUACUUCCAAAAAUUGUAGUAAAUACUUGAAGAUUUAUCUCAUUUUAUUCUCUUAACCCCUAUGGUUGGAAGAUAAAAUACCCUAUUAUUAAUAUAAAGAAAGUGAAGCUAACAGAUUUAGCUAAUCUGUUCACGAUUGGUGUAUUAGUCCGUUCUCACACUGCUAUAAAGAUACUACACAAGACUGGGUAAUUUAUAAAGGAAAGAGGUUUAAUGGACUCACAGUUCCACAUGGUUGGGGAGGCCUCAGGAAACUUAAAAUGAUGGCAGAAGGUGAAGGGGAAGCAAGGACCUUCAUCACAUGGUGGCAGGAGAGAGAAGUGCAAGCAGAGGAAAUGCCAGAUGCUUAUGAAACCAUCAGAUCUCAUGAGACUCACUCCCUGUCACAAGAACAGCACUGGGGAAACUGUCCCUAUGAUCUGAUCACCUCCCACCAGGUCUCUUCCUCAACACCUGGGGGUUACAAUUCAAGAUAAGAUUUGGGUGGAGACACAAAGCCUAACCAUAUCAAUUGGGUAAUUGAUUCAUGGCCAAGUUGGACUUAUACCACAACCAUCUUUCCAAAAUCAAAAUAAAUUGCAUAAGAAUUAUGUGGUGUAAAUCUAAAUAUAUAACUUUUUUUAUUUGAAAUUCAGCUUAAAAGUCAUGUUUAUCAUGCUGUAAACAUAAGAUUUUAAAUAAGAACCCUUAAAUAUUAUAGGUCUUAUACCUGUAUUUAUCUCUUAUGUUUCUUAUUGCAUGGAUUUCUCUGUUCUGCUAGAUCAGUGAUCAGCACACUAUGGCUUGUGCUCCACCUACCACUUGUUUUUAUAGAAAAGUUUUAUUGAAACAUAGCCAUGCACAUUCAUUUAUAUAUUGGGUAUUAUUGUCUUUGUACUACAAUGGCAGAGUUGAAUAGUUGCAACAGAAACUUCAUGGCCUUCAAAGCCUAUAAUAGUCCUCGUCUGGCCCUUCACAGAAAAAGUUUGCCAAUCCUUGUACCAAAUUGUAAGCUCCAUGAGAGUUUUCUGUAUUAAUCACUUGAGUGCCCCUGCAUCUGCAGAAAUUUCUGGCACAUGGUGUUGACUCUGUAGGAAGUUUUUGAAGGGAAAAGUGAAUUGAUUACCUUUAUAUUUCUGUAUCAAGGAAUACAAUAGUAUAUAUUCAGUUGCCGUUAAUGGAGAUGAGUUUUUCAAAAAUUAAUAUGGAUUCUGAAUUUCUUUAUUUUUAAAACUAUUUUGAGUGCUUAUACAAUUUUAUAAUUUGGGGAAGUUAAUCUCUAGAGAAGAAAAAAUGGCCCCUGUGUUGAUGAUCGGCAUAAGCCAAACAUGACUGAAAAACACAAUAAUGUUUUCUCCACCGCUGUUGCUUUUGUUUCUGUUGUUGCCAUACGCAUAGCUUUUUCUAAAGAGAGAUUUUCAGUUCUAGAUAGGUUGAGAUUGUUUUCUCUAAAUACCGUUUGUUCUAAUACUGUUUGUGAACAUAUUUAUGUUGUCUUCCUUAUUAAUACUUACAGAUCCUUAAUUUAAAAAGGAAACAAAAACCUAUUCUUUUUUUUUCCUGCAUUGCAUUAAGAAAUUAAAUGAGCAAGCCGCAGAACUCUUCGAAUCUGGAGAGGAUCGAGAAGUAAACAAUGGUCUGAUUAUCAUGAAUGAGUUUAUUGUCCCAUUUUUGCCAUUAUUACUGGUGGAUGAAAUGGAAGAAAAGGAUAUACUAGCUGUAGAAGAUAUGAGAAAUCGAUGGUGUUCCUACCUUGGUCAAGAAAUGGAACCACACCUCCAAGAAAAGCUGACAGAUUUUUUGCCAAAACUGCUUGAUUGUUCUAUGGAGAUUAAAAGUUUCCAUGAGCCACCGAAGUUACCUUCAUAUUCCACGCAUGAACUCUGUGAGCGAUUUGCCCGAAUCAUGUUGUCCCUCAGUCGAACUCCUGCUGAUGGAAGAUAAACUGCACACUUUCCCUGAACACACUGUAUAAACUCUUUUUAGUUCUUAACCCUUGCCUUCCUGUCACAGGGUUUGCUUGUUGCUGCUAUAGUUUUUAACUUUUUUUUUAUUUUAAUAACUGCAAAAGACAAAAUGACUAUGCAGACUUUAGUCAGACUGCAGACAAUAAAGCUGAAAAUCGCAUGGCGCUCAGACAUUUUAACCGGAACUGAUGUAUAAUCACAAAUCUAAUUGAUUUUAUUAUGGCAAAACUAUGCUUUUGCCACCUUCCUGUUACAGUAUUACUUUGCUUUUAUCUUUUCUUUCUCAACAGCUUUCCAUUCAGUCUGGAUCCUUCCAUGACUACAGCCAUUUAAGUGUUCAGCACUGUGUAUGAUACGUAAUAUUUGGUAGCUUGUAAAUGAAAUAAAGAAUAAAGUUUUAUUUAUGGCUACCUA